UUUCAUCCACGCUCUCUUCUUUCCUGCUUCAUCUGUUCUUCCUCCAAACUCCCUUGGUUCAUCCUUCCCGCGUUUCUCUCUCAUCUAAAGUUCUCUCCAACUGUGCUGUACUCGCCAUUGUUGUUCAUUUUUCACCCUUACUCACCAUUGUUGUACUUUCUGUACAUUUCGGCUUCUCCUUCUGUACUUUCUUCCGCUGUUCUUGGUUUCUUUGUCUUAUCAUUUGUUCUUGUCAUUUCGUUUGAACAAUCUCUCUACAGCGUCUCAUUCGCAUUGGAAUAGAUCUUCGACACCAUGUAGAUUCUUCUUCUUUUUCUUGUUAUUGCCGAAGACAGGUACUUCUCUGCAUUCUGCUGGUAUUUUAUUUCUCAAACAACACGAUGAGUCUUUCGAAGCUCAAAGCAAAAGCUGCACAUUCUGAUACUACUGCUCCUCUCAGUACUGAUGAUGCAAUGCAGUAUGAUAGCAAUGAUGAAAGUCAAACAUCUUCCACCAGCAAGUCAGCGACGUCAAGGACGUCCGCCAAGACCCUCUACUGGAUUAUCAAGAAAGUCAAUCCAAUAAAAAGGCAGUUGGUGAAGGAAAUAGGUUUUGGCGGAUUACUUGAACUGCCUCUCUGGAAUUCAAUUAGUCGCAUCUUCAGCACUUGGCUCCUCAGCCAAGUUGAUUGCAUAGAUCUCGCCAUCAUACUGGAUGCAACUCGAAGACUCCUCUUUGUACCACAGGAUGUGAACAGAGUAUUUGGUAUGCCCUGCAGACAUCGUGAUGUCUUGGGACCAGAAACUAAAAUAUCGGAUGCUGCAAUGGCAUACAUUCGUGAACAAGCUGGUAUAACAAUGACAAAGAUCAGCCUCAUAGAUGCUGAGAAGAUUGUCCUGAUGGACUUAUCAGAAGACAGCACUAGAUUACAAAAGGAUUCAUUCAAGAUGGCAUUUGUUAUCAUUGCUAUGGGACAUCUUCUUUCACCAUCUACAAAGUAUGAUCAUGUCAACAUUGAUUUCCUAGGCGCCUUGCGUUGUACUGAAGAAAUUGGUCAAUACAACUAGUGUGCAUAUGUUCCGAAAGGUAUCAUUGAGGCAGCUCAAAAAGUACAGGCUGAUUUGUCCAUGAACAAAUUAGUUUCCAACAUAUUUGCUUGUCACUUGUUCUUGCAGAUACACUAUGUAGAUAAUCUUUUACUUGAACCACUACAACCUCCAAAGAACAUCUUUCCCCGUAUGAAGGCGUUCCCAACUGAAGUACUUAACAAGCUCAUACUAGCUGAUACUAAGCCCAGAGGUGGUUAUGGAGCCAAGUAGGUAACAGUUCAAUGCAAGGGGGACUAUCGUUGUCCAAAAUCAGUCACCAAUUUUAUGGCAGCAAGUUCCUGUGCCUGCUGGAUCAGGUACACCAACACUACUUCAUUCCGUACCAACAAACUCUGGUACCAGCCUUCCAAUUAGUGCAGCAACAUUACCACAAUUCCUCCGAGAGAAAUACCCUGCUCUGUGCAAUACAACAUUAGGCAAUGAUUUGAAAAUAUAUAAUGCAAACAUGGCCCGAGCAAUGAAUGAAAGGCAUGCAGCUGAGAAGAAUCAUGUGAUGCAACAAAAUUUAUGGCUUCAUCUCCUCGAACCCUGUACCACCACGACAAUCACUUUCAACAUCAAGAACACAAGCUUCAGCGAACAGCUCCGUGAAAAGAGGAGACAACAAAGAUCAACUUCAUUCUCAGUCUGAAGCUCAAAGCAAGGAAUGUACGUCACCAUUGCGUGCAAUGAAAUCGCUUCAGGACACACCCAAGAGGUCAUCAUCAGAACUGAAGGAUGCAGCAAGCAAGAAAUCAAAGACUGAAUGUUCACGUACCUUGCCCUACUUAACAAUGCGUUAUAACACCAAAUGCUCACAUCAAUAGUAUUUAUCUUAAUUCCUUUCAUAAAUAGAUGGCGUUCACAGCAACAGAUCUAUGUUGAAGCACAUGGACUUUGAACCACCUUCUUUUGAUCUUGGCAUAGAUUCUAUUGCAAUUGUGACUUAGCAAUGUGUGCCAUCCUUCGCAGCUUCCAACGAUGACUCCAAGAGAACGCCAGAAACAGAAGCUCUCGCUCCAUGUUCUCCGGCUGUAACUAAAUUAACCAUGGAACAUUCCAUGGUAGAUUGGAUGAUGAGGUCAGAGGAUAUAGACUGCCCUGAGAGUAAGGUAUUGUUCGGUGCACCGUCUACUUCACCACCGUGCAAACGUCGAACCAAGGUUGGUACAUUUGCACCCUCACCUUGGUCUGAAGGAUAUAUACAUCCUAAACCAGAUGAUGACAUCAUGGUUUCUCUUUUGGAAUGGUGUGUUGACGCACCUGCACACUACUUGAAAAUCCCAUGGGUAACCACUGAAUUUGCUCGCUACAUCUCAGUUACUGUCCUGAUGUUCUUAACUUCGAAAUGUGCGACCUCCUAGUUAGGCGGUUAACACAACUAGACACCUGGAUGGAACCAAAAAGCAGCAAGAGGCGUUGUUGUCAUCUUCUCGAGAGUGAUUUCUCUGUCUGUGCGAUAGCACAAAAUGACUUCACAUCUCUCCUAUCAAUCCAGCAACAAUUCAUUGGCGACGACAUAAACUACAACAUGUCGUGCACCCAAAUGUUCGCCGUACCUACAUUCAUUGGGCAAUCAUGGUGUGCCUACAUGUUUGACGUGAAGGAAGAGAUUAUUCAUGUACUUGAUCCAUUGGGACUACAUCUGGAAUCAGGAACAAUUAGAGUUAAACGCUAAUUCUGCUAACCUCAUUCAACAAAAGCUCUUUCAAUGCUUCAACGAGUACUAUGAAAUUUGGAAUCCCCAGAUGAAACAGUGGCCUCAUGUGUAUCCUCUUCUCACAGAUGACAAGUUCACCAAGAAUGAGAGUAGAUUGUGCAUGCUAUAUUGUGUCCGCAAUUACAAUGGGGAUGAAUUGGAGCAGCCACUCACCCAGAAUGGUUAUUCAAGGCUGAAACAUACAUUUCUUCGUGAACUCCUCACCAUGGAGAAGAACAAGGCCACGCUCCCCAUCCACAUACUCAAGCUGAUUGGCGGACCGAAUUGGAGGCAAGUCUAGCCUGGCAAUGGUUGCGUUAAUACAAUGUCCCAUCAGUCCAAGUUGUGUAAUUCAAAACCUGGUCUGUGUACCCAACUAAGUUCUGCUGCGAAACUACGUCCUACCACGUUGUAUGCCUUUUGCGAACCAUUCCCCGCACAUUUCUAUGUUUGUACUUCAUUUCCAUUAUGUACGACCAAUAUGGGUACUUCUUUGC
Molecule: long non-coding RNA, 3263 nt
Organism: Brachypodium distachyon (stiff brome)
Lineage: Eukaryota; Viridiplantae; Streptophyta; Magnoliopsida; Poales; Poaceae
Exons: 12
Source: RefSeq, a predicted model, not a curated record